RNAcentral lists this long non-coding RNA (1967 nucleotides) under Selaginella moellendorffii. Its description in RNAcentral is "long non-coding RNA (SMOE_LNC001555)". Lineage: Eukaryota; Viridiplantae; Streptophyta; Lycopodiopsida; Selaginellales; Selaginellaceae. The record is from RNAcentral.
GCAGGCCGAGCUAGAAAAGCAAAAAAGAUGGCUUUGCUUGCGUUUGUUUGUAGGUGGCGGGGAGGAUGACACAGUUUAUCCAUCCCAAGCUUUUGAGGAGAGCCGAGGAGGUGCUGGGCAUGCUCUCCACGCCCAAGUCCACUCCGCAGUACCCCUACGACAAGAAGUUCAGUGAGGUGCCGCUCGAGGAGCGAGAGAAACUUAUGUACCAGUGGGCCAACAGCGACGACGACGAUUCCCGUCUCAACUUCAAGAUCUUCAAGACGUUCAUCCUCAACACCUUCUAUAGCAAGGUGCCGUGGUUUAGAAAGACGCUCUCUAUAUCAAGACAUUGUACCUCUUGGCUUGCAGGUGGAUGCUUCGGGCUACAACCCGACCUGGGAAGCCAUCGGCUACGCGGGACCGGAUCCAAACUCCAUGAAAGCAACGUUGCCUCCAAAGCCGUCAGCUCUCAAGUCCGCCGUCUUCGACGUCAGAGAGCACCCCGACCUGCGAGCAGUCCUCAAGCACACGGGUUACACUCUACUGGAUGACAUAUCUCACCUCAAGCCGGCGCUGCUGCCUUCCAACAAGCUUGAGGACGGAGAGGACGUGAUUGGCAUCAAAUGCGACGUGAUCAUUGUUGGAGCUGGCAGCGGAGGAAGCGUUCCAGCUCAGGUCCUGUCCACUGCCGGCCUCAAAGUUUUGCUGCUGGAGAAAGGCCGCUACUUUGCGAGAGAAGAUCUGUCCCUGCUCGAGCAACCGACUUUCAGCGAGCUCUACGAAGAAGGCGGAUUUCUGGCAACUGACGACUUUGCUUACUCGCUCAUGUCCGCUGCGGUGGUGGGAGGCGGAACUUGCAUCAACUGGGCGGCAUCCUUCCAGACUCCGCCUCACGUCCGCCAGGAAUGGGCCGAGGAGUGUGGACUUCCCAUGUUUACCAGCGAAAAGUACCAGCAAGCUCUGGAUCUCAUCUGCAAGAAGAUCGGUGUUCAGCCCAAUGCAACAGUGGAAAGCUUCCAGAAUGCAGUCCUGCGCAAGGGAUGCGUGGAGCUUGGCCUCCACAGCGCAAAUAUACCGAGAAACGCGAGCCCGGAACACUAUUGCGGCUGCUGUAACAUGGGAUGCCGACGGGGUAUGAAGCAAGCGACCACCGAGACUUGGCUGGUGGAAGCAGCGGCAGCGGGAGCGACCAUCCUCACGGGAACAAAAGGCUUGCAAGUGCUAUUCACGGACGGGACCAAGAAGGAGAAGAAAGCCAUCGGUGUGUUGGCCACCACCUUGGGUGACCAGCCAAAGAAGUUGAUCAUCGAGGCCAAAGCGACCAUCGUGUCCACCGGCUCUAUCAUGACACCACCGCUGCUCAUCAGGAGUGGACUCACGAAUCCAAACAUUGGGAAACACUUCCACAUCCAUCCGGUGCUGGGAGUGUGGGGAUACUUCCCGGACGAGGAGAAGAACCCGGGAGCUAGCUUCGAAGGAGGGAUCAUGACGGCCUUUAGCGCGGUGAGCGCACGCUGGGACACAGUCGGCUAUGGUCCGGUGCUCAUGACACCGAGCUUCCACCCCGGACAGUACGCUUCGGUGGUAACUUGGAAAUCUGGAGCUCAGCACAAGGAGGCAAUGCGGAGGUUCAGACGAGUCUCUCAGGUGGUGCUCUUCACUCGUGACAAAGGAGCUGGGAGUAUCGGAGUGGACAAGAAGACGGACGAGAUCACGAUCGAGUAUACUCUAGAUCCAUACGACGAGGAGGUUUGCCUGGAGGGAGCGGAGAAAGGACUUCGCGUGCUCAAGGCAGCGGGGGCAGUGGAAGUCGGGACGCACCACCACGACGCUGAAAGCUUCACGUUUGGCAAGUCGACAAGCUGGAAAGAAGAGAAGAAGCGGUUCGAGGAGUACCUUGCGAGCGUGAGAAGCAAAGGGCUCAAGCCCAACCGGCUGCCAAUGGUAUCGUAUCACUUGCUGGGAUCGUGCCGGAUGGGAUCCAG